RNAcentral lists this ribosomal RNA (361 nucleotides) under uncultured Dolichospermum sp. RNAcentral describes it as "bacterial SSU rRNA". It matches the Rfam family "Bacterial small subunit ribosomal RNA", at positions 376 to 751 of the family's 1533-position model. The record is from RNAcentral. Lineage: Bacteria; Bacillati; Cyanobacteriota; Cyanophyceae; Nostocales; Aphanizomenonaceae.
CGAAAGCCUGACGGAGCAAUACCGCGUGAGGGAGGAAGGCUCUUGGGUUGUAAACCUCUUUUCUCAGGGAAGAACAAAAUGACGGUACCUGAGGAAUAAGCAUCGGCUAACUCCGUGCCAGCAGCCGCGGUAAUACGGAGGAUGCAAGCGUUAUCCGGAAUGAUUGGGCGUAAAGAGUCCGUAGGUGGCAUUGAAAGUCUGCUGUUAAAGAGUCUAGCUCAACUAGAUAAGAGCAGUGGAAACUACAAAGCUAGAGUUUGGUCGGGGCAGAAGGAAUUCCUGGUGUAGCGGUGAAAUGCGUAGAGAUCAGGAAGAACACCGGUGGCGAAGGCGUUCUGCUAGGCCGAGACUGACACUGAGG